GACGAACGCUGGCGGCGUGCUUAACACAUGCAAGUCGAGCGGUAAGGCCCUUUCGGGGGUACACGAGCGGCGAACGGGUGAGUAACACGUGGGUGACCUGCCUUUAGCUCUGGGAUAAGCCUGGGAAACUGGGUCUAAUACCGGAUAUGACUCCAUGACGCAUGUUGUGGGGUGGAAAGCCUUGUGCGGCUAGGGAUGGGCCCGCGGCCUAUCAGCUUGUUGGUGGGGUGAUGGCCUACCAAGGCGACGACGGGUAGCCGGCCUGAGAGGGCGACCGGCCACACUGGGACUGAGAUACGGCCCAGACUCCUACGGGAGGCAGCAGUGGGGAAUCUUGCGCAAUGGGCGAAAGCCUGACGCAGCGACGCCGCGUGAGGGAUGACGGCCU
Molecule: ribosomal RNA, 388 nt
Filed under: uncultured bacterium
Lineage: Bacteria
Description: bacterial SSU rRNA
Rfam family: Bacterial small subunit ribosomal RNA
Source: RNAcentral